Molecule: ribosomal RNA, 227 nt
Filed under: uncultured bacterium
Lineage: Bacteria
Description: partial 16S ribosomal RNA
Rfam family: Bacterial small subunit ribosomal RNA
Source: RNAcentral
CAAAAAAGACAGUCUCAGUUCGGAUUGAAGGCUGAAAUUCGCCUUCAUGAAGCCGGAAUUGCUAGUAAUGGCAGGUCAGCAUACUGCCGUGAAUACGUUCCCGGGCCUUGUACACACCGCCCGUCACACCAUGAGAGUUGGGGAUACCCGAAGCCUGUGAGCUAACAGUAAUGAAGCAGCAGUCGAAGGUAGAAUCAAUGAUUGGGGUGAAGUCGUAACAAGGUAUC